AUUGAACGCUGGCGGCAUGCCUUACACAUGCAAGUCGAACGGCAGCGCGGGAGCAAUCCUGGCGGCGAGUGGCGAACGGGUGAGUAAUACAUCGGAACGUGCCCAAUCGUGGGGGAUAACGCAGCGAAAGCUGUGCUAAUACCGCAUACGAUCUACGGAUGAAAGCAGGGGAUCGCAAGACCUUGCGCGAAUGGAGCGGCCGAUGGCAGAUUAGGUAGUUGGUGAGGUAAAGGCUCACCAAGCCUUCGAUCUGUAGCUGGUCUGAGAGGACGACCAGCCACACUGGGACUGAGACACGGCCCAGACUCCUACGGGAGGCAGCAGUGGGGAAUUUUAGACAAUGGGCGAAAGCCUGAUCCAGCCAUGCCGCGUGCAGGAUGAAGGCCUUCGGGUUGUAAACUGCUUUUGUACGGAACGAAACGGUCUUUUCUAAUAAAGAAGGCUAAUGACGGUACCGGAAGAAUAAGCACCGGCUAACUACGUG
RNAcentral lists this ribosomal RNA (484 nucleotides) under uncultured bacterium. RNAcentral describes it as "partial 16S ribosomal RNA". It matches the Rfam family "Bacterial small subunit ribosomal RNA", at positions 30 to 507 of the family's 1533-position model. The record is from RNAcentral.